RNAcentral lists this ribosomal RNA (254 nucleotides) under uncultured bacterium. Its description in RNAcentral is "partial 16S ribosomal RNA". It matches the Rfam family "Bacterial small subunit ribosomal RNA", at positions 524 to 776 of the family's 1533-position model. The record is from RNAcentral.
UACGUAGGGGGCAAGCGUUGUCCGGAUUUAUUGGGCGUAAAGAGCGUGUAGGCGGCCAGGGAGGUCCGUUGUGAAAACUCGAGGCUCAACCUCGAGACGCCGAUGGAAACCCCCUGGCUAGAGUCCGGAAGAGGAGAGUGGAAUUCCUGGUGUAGCGGUGAAAUGCGCAGAUAUCAGGAAGAACACCCGUGGCUAAGGCGGCUCUCUAGUACGGUACUGACGCUGAGACGCGAAAGCGUGGGGGAGCGAACAGG